Cimex lectularius (bed bug) is the source of this 2396-nucleotide RNA transcript. It is a transcript of the gene named thymocyte selection-associated high mobility group box protein TOX-like, with no coding region annotated. The transcript has 12 exons. NCBI's taxonomy places the organism in Eukaryota, Metazoa, Arthropoda, Insecta, Hemiptera, Cimicidae. The record is from RefSeq and is a predicted model, not a curated record.
CGGUUCCCCGCUCAUUCCCCGUUCGACUUCCGCCGAGUGAGGAUCUCUUGCGCCGACCUUCGAAAUACGAUUUCUUGUGUGACAUGUUAGCGAUAUGUGCCCGCAAUAAGUAACGCGCGAAAAUUAUUUUUUUUUGCUUUUGUGCAACGACCCGAUCUUGCGCGAGCGACUGUGACGGACCAGACCGCAUCCCCCGCCUCCAGUGGAAUUGGCGCUUCCCGAGAGACCCAUCGGCUCCUGUGAAAAUAUGGAAGCCACAUAUUGCAUCGGAUCCGACAUGGACGUCUGCAGAAUGUUCGACCAGUAUCUGUACAAGAGGAGCGAGAACAUCGACGUGUCGCUCUCAGUGCCCAACCAUCUACAAAACGGCUUCUCCAACAUGACCGAGCAGAAUUUUCACACGCCGAGUUUCGGCGACGAGGACUUUGAUAUACCGCCUAUCAACCCUCAUCACAAUUCUGGCCCACAGCACAUGCCCUAUCAUCCGCCCCCGAUAUCAAUGCCGCCGAUGAGUCAAACGACGAUGACCAUGAGUGAUCAAAGCACGGCGUAUCACCAACCGCUCUACCUCUCACCUCCGCAGGAGCACAACAUGGGAAUGGGCAUGAACAACUACAACCAGCAAAACGGGUACAGGAUGCCGCAGAAUUCGCUCGCCCAGUUGCAGCAGUACAGCAUGGGCCCACCGCAGGGGACGAUGCGCUCCCCGCAAGGACGGCAGGCCCAGUCGCCCCAGGGGACGAUGCCCCACGAGACGACGACUACGAGCGACGACAGCGACGAUUCGACGCCUCAUUCGCAUCUCGUUGCCGGAAUGAAACGGCCUUCCCCGGAACCGGCGGAGAACAGUUUAGCCAAAAUUCAGAAAAAGCCCAAAACUCAAAAGAAAAAGAAGAAAAGAGACCCUAACGAACCACAAAAGCCGGUUUCAGCCUACGCGCUUUUCUUCAGGGAUACUCAAGCGGCCAUAAAAGGACAAAAUCCGAACGCCAGCUUUGGAGAAGUAUCCAAAAUCGUCGCAUCCAUGUGGGACGCAUUGGACGCCGAACACAAAAACGUUUACAAGAAGAAGACCGAAGCUGCCAAGAAGGACUAUUUGAAGGCGCUUGCUGCUUACAGGGCUAGUCUAGUUUCGAAGGGAGGCGGAGAGCAGGAGCCGAUUUACGGCGGAUACGGCGGUUACGGCGGAGGCGGUGGAGGUGGAGGCGGUGGCGGAGCGUACAACGGCUAUUCGCCCCCGACCGGCUUGCCGUCCCCUCCGAUAUCCGCUCCGUCCCCCCAGGGCCACAUCAAAAAACCCCACAUGAUGCCAGACAACAGACAACCUCAACCGACAAUGCAACAGGUCAUGAUGGGCCACAUGGGACAACAGCAGCAACAACAACAACAACACUUGCAGCAACAGCCGCCGCAACAACAACAACAACAGCAGCAGCAGCAGCCGCCGCCCAAUCCCCAGCAAGUCAAUCAGAACUCAAACUAUAUGCAACAACAACAGUGGUCGUGGUGUUACAGGCUGGUGGGAGCGGGCCCUCCGGGGAGCAGCCAAUGAGCGACCAACUGACAGCUCAGACUCCCAACAACCACUGCAUCAGGAGCGGCUGCCCAAACCCAGCAGUAGCCAACUCGGAGUGGGAGGACGAGUAUUGUAGUAAUGAAUGUGUUGUUACUCAUUGCAAGGACGUCUUUAGUUCCUGGGUCGCAUCUAACCAGAAUUCGGCUGUGAAAUAGACAUUUCAGUGGAUUAACUAGUGGCCACGUGUAAAUACAAUAUACCGUAUUAAAGGGCUUUAAUUGCCUUCAGUGUACAAUUAUGAUAUAUAUAAAUAUUAAUUAUUAUAAAUAAAAAUGUUAUAAUAGAAAAAAAAAUGGAUUGGGUAGUUUUCUACCGCACAUAUCAUCUUGCUUAUGGUGAAGUAUAAAAAAUAAGUAUAUUUGUUUCUUUACUAAUUAAUAAUAUAUUCUUUUUUAUAUAUUGUUUCAAUCAGGCAUAAUUAUUUUUGUAAAUAAAUUAUAGAACAAUAAUUAAAUGUAGUAUUAAUUAUAACUUCGCCAUAAUCAAAGUUAUAUGUUACCCAGAUUUAAAAGGGCAAAAUGCAUAAGGUAAUGCCCUAAAAUGCAUGUUGGACCUGUAUUCAAAUAAAUACUUAAAACUAAUAUUGUAGCUAGGGAUUAGUUGUUAGACAUCUUUACUAUCAACAGGCAGUGUAAACCUAUUUAUAUAAGCAUUUAGUAUGUGAAUUAACACAUAAUAAUAUAUGCUCAUGAUGUCGAUUUUAAUUUAAGUUUAUGUAAUAUAAAUGAUUUGUAUUAGACAUAUAUCAAGAAUAUUUUAUUACUGGUCAAGUGCAGUAUUUGAAAUGUUGAUAUUGUUGUUGUUUAUAGCUUUUAGAUUA